This 253-nucleotide ribosomal RNA is filed under the name uncultured bacterium. RNAcentral's name for it is "partial 16S ribosomal RNA". It matches the Rfam family "Bacterial small subunit ribosomal RNA", at positions 524 to 776 of the family's 1533-position model. The record is from RNAcentral. RNAcentral also lists the same sequence under 1 other name.
UACAGAGGGUGCAAGCGUUAAUCGGAAUUACUGGGCGUAAAGCGAGCGUAGUCGGUUAUUUAAGUCGGAUGUGAAAUCCCCGGGCUCAACCUGGGAAUUGCAUUCGAUACUGGAUAGCUAGAGUUCGGCAGAGGGAAGCGGAAUUUCGGGUGUAGCGGUGAAAUGCGUAGAUAUCCGAAGGAACAUCAGUGGCGAAAGCGGCUUCCUGGACCAGAACUGACGAUCAGGCUCGAAAGCGUGGGGAGCAAACAGG